AAAUAGCCGCAGUAUUUUGACUGUGCGAAGGUAGCAUAAUCAUUUGUCCUUUAAUUGAAGGCUUGUAUGAAUGGUUUAAUGAGGGAACAACUUUCUUUAUAUUAAAGGUUGAAUUUAAUCUUUUGGUUAAAAAGCUAAAAUUUUUAAAUGGGACGAGAAGACCCUAUAGAAUUUUAUUUUUAUUUUUAUAAAAAAUUAUUUGUUUUAAUUAUUAAAUUUGUAGUAUAAAAUUUUAUUGGGGUGAUAUUGAAAUUUUUUUAACUCUCAUAAUUUAUAUUUUUAUAAAUUUAUAUAUUUAGGAUCCUAUUUUAUGGAUAUUUAGAUUAAAUUACCUUAGGGAUAACAGCGUAAUUUUUCUUGAGAGUUCUUAUCGAUGGAAAAGUUUGCGACCUCGAUGUUGGAUUAAAAUUAGAUUUAA
This 418-nucleotide ribosomal RNA is filed under the name Pentatoma rufipes. RNAcentral's name for it is "partial large subunit ribosomal RNA". The record is from RNAcentral. Lineage: Eukaryota; Metazoa; Arthropoda; Insecta; Hemiptera; Pentatomidae.